Molecule: ribosomal RNA, 334 nt
Filed under: uncultured eukaryote
Lineage: Eukaryota
Description: partial 18S ribosomal RNA
Rfam family: Eukaryotic small subunit ribosomal RNA
Source: RNAcentral
CCCUUAGAUGUCCGGGGCCGCACGCGCGCUACACUGAAGGAAUCAGCGUGGCUUUCUCCCUGACCUGAAAGGGUUGGGAAACCCGUUGAAUCUCCUUCGUGAUAGGGAUUGGGGCUUGAAAUUGUUCCCCAUGAACGAGGAAUUCCCAGUAAGCGCGAGUCAUAAGCUCGCGUUGAUUACGUCCCUGCCCUUUGUACACACCGCCCGUCGCUACUACCGAUUGAACGGUUUAGUGAGGGCCUCGGAUUGGUCUCGGCCCGCUCUUUACCGGGCGGCGCCGUUGGUCGAGAAGACGCUCGAACUUGAUCGUUUAGAGGAAGUAAAAGUCGUAACA